Molecule: long non-coding RNA, 1144 nt
Organism: Gadus macrocephalus (Pacific cod)
Lineage: Eukaryota; Metazoa; Chordata; Actinopteri; Gadiformes; Gadidae
Exons: 3
Source: RefSeq, a predicted model, not a curated record
GCCGUUCUCUCCUUCAUCCUUUCUCUCUCUCGCUGACCUGUAGCUAGUUCUAAAGAAGUAUACCUUCUCUAAACCUCCACGAUGGCUACAUAUAGAUUCAUCAGCUCCGAGGGGCCCUCAUACCACUGUAGAGUACAGAUGUAACUUGAAACACUACAAAAUGAUCAUGUAUCUCGUGGGCCUGGAUCUAGUCCCACGUAUGGACUUGAUCCGAGUCCCCCUCAUGGCCUGGGUCGAGUACCACUCAUGGACUACAGAAUUGCCAGGACGAUGACUGAAUUCCCCGGGCCACCCUAAUUCGUCAUUCUGGGCCACCGAACCGGACCCUGAAUGUAUCUUGGCCGUAUCUCCACCACCACGAGGUAAGGACCGUAACUGGGCUCUUGUUGAUGUGGGACUACAUGUUUCUGGGAUGAUAUCGCUGCAUAGGAAGUGCCGUCCGAUGCGAAACUGACGAUUGGAAAAGCUUUUCUGAGAAAUAAUAAAAUUCAUACUGCGGGAAAUCCACCCGAGAGACCACAUCUAACUAAAGUAUCUGUAAUCCACAAGGCGGUGAAGGACUCUGGUGACGCGAAGCAGAAAGUGGUAGAUGUGGUAGAAAAUUCCCUUUCUACCAUGAAAGGUAAAUUGAUGCAUUUUGUAUAAGCGCUCAAGCCAGUGAUGAAAAAAGUUAUCCCUGUCUGAACAACGGUGUUGACCAUUGGUAACCUGAGGCUUGACUUAACUUUUAAGAUGAAUAAAGCAAACUGUUUGGGACUGGCACCUUUUUCACUUCUCCUUUUCACGUUCUUGCAGCUCUGAAUCGACGACCAGCCAAAUGAGGAGGUCUGCUUGGACUGAAAAUGUAAAUCAAUGCACCUCUGAGUCACGUUGACUUGUGACGGGAGAUUGCUAGUUUGAAACCUGGCUCCUCCUAGCUGAGUGUUAGGUGUCAGUAACCCUAACGACGAGCUCUGGCUGUGUAUGAAUGGUUGUAAGUCGCUUAGGAUAAAUUGGCUUCCAACUAAAACUCUGAAGUUAUUGUCUUCAAGACCAGAAUCAUUGUUGGACCCGCUCUGGAUUAAAGCUUCUGCUAAAUGCCCUGAAUGUAAAUGCCCCUGCUAAUCCAAAUGUGUUGCUCUUAACAAUAAAACUGUAAAAUAAA